UACCAGACUCCUACGGGAGGCAGCAGUGGGGAAUAUUGCACAAUGGGGGAAACCCUGAUGCAGCGACGCCGCGUGAGUGAAGAAGUAUUUCUGUAUGUAAAGCUCUAUCAGCAGGAAAGAAAAUGACGGUACCUGACUAAGAAGCCCCGGCUAACUACGUGCCAGCAGCCGCGGUAAUACGUAGGGGGCAAGCGUUAUCCGGAUUUACUGGGUGUAAAGGGAGCGUAGACGGUGAAGCAAGUCUGAAGUGAAAGGCGGGGGCUCAACCCCCGGACUGCUUUGGAAACUGUUUGACUGGAGUGCAGGAGAGGUAAGUGGAAUUCCUAGUGUAGCGGUGAAAUGCGUAGAUAUUAGGAGGAACACCAGUGGCGAAGGCGGCUUACUGGACUGUAACUGACACUGAGGCACGAAAGCGUGGGGAGCAAACAGGAUUAGAUACCCGAGUA
Molecule: ribosomal RNA, 446 nt
Filed under: uncultured bacterium
Lineage: Bacteria
Description: bacterial SSU rRNA
Rfam family: Bacterial small subunit ribosomal RNA
Source: RNAcentral